Long non-coding RNA from Peromyscus maniculatus bairdii (prairie deer mouse), 940 nucleotides. RefSeq lists it as uncharacterized. The record is from RefSeq and is a predicted model, not a curated record. NCBI's taxonomy places the organism in Eukaryota, Metazoa, Chordata, Mammalia, Rodentia, Cricetidae.
AACAAGGGGGAAAGCAAAGAGGGAGGGAGGGAACUGAGACGGUCAUCCUGAAAACUAACUUUAAAAUAGAGGAGUAGAUACCAGACACAGACUUGAGACCCCCCAGGCUGAGGAGGCACACGGAACUGAUGAACGACUGCUAAGCUUUGCACGUAUCUUGCUUUGCAUCUAGACCUCUCCAUCACUUCUCCUUCCUGUCCCACAACCGCUGGUCCUUGCCAUUCUAACUCCUGCUGACGCUCUUUCCCUGUUAAUAUUUCCCUUCUUCUUCUCCUCUACCAAACUGCAGCCACCCCAUCGAGUUCUGCUUCCUUGGUGGACCCUGGUCCAGGCAUCCGAAAAAAAACUUUAAAAAGACUUUCCCCCAUGGUCUCGGGAAGAACCUGAAGGCUCUCGGGGCGGAAUCACCGGACGAACACCUUGGAGCUGGGGAAGGAAACGGCCGUCAGGCGAUCACGCGCUCAUGCCAGCUCUAGCAAACACCAGCCAGCCAAUGUCACAGAAUCGUUACCAAACAUCUCCUGGCUUUGGCCCACAAGGAUGGCUUCUGAUUGAUUAUCCAGCCAAAUCUGAAUUUGAGAGCUCGAUGUGAGUUCUGGGGAAAUAGACCGUGUUUUGUUUAAUGCAGGAAGCAAGUAUUGCUUAUUAAAUAAAAACGGAAUGAUAUUUAGCCAGGCAUUUUCAAACAUCUUUGCCCUUUGCUCCAUGGUACAAUGAAUAACACAUACUAUUGAGCACCACUCAUAAGCAGCUUCAUUUCAUGAGAGCAAUUUAUGUUUUAUUUUAUUGCUUACUUAAAAAGCAUAGCUUUGGCUAAUAACUGCUUUCAUGGCCAUUUUGACACUGACCUGGAGAAAAAGUUGAAAAAUGUAUUUUAUUUUCACCCUCGGGCCCCCCAAGUGUGAGUUCUUUUGAUGAAAUAUAACAGGUUAAGAGCAGA